GAUGAACGCUGGCGGCGUGCCUAAUACAUGCAAGUCGAGCGAACAGACGAGGAGCUUGCUCCUCUGACGUUAGCGGCGGACGGGUGAGUAACACGUGGAUAACCUACCUAUAAGACUGGGAUAACUUCGGGAAACCGGAGCUAAUACCGGAUAAUAUAUUGAACCGCAUGGUUCAAUAGUGAAAGACGGUUUUGCUGUCACUUAUAGAUGGAUCCGCGCCGCAUUAGCUAGUUGGUAAGGUAACGGCUUACCAAGGCGACGAUGCGUAGCCGACCUGAGAGGGUGAUCGGCCACACGGGAACUGAGACACGGUCCAGACUCCGACGGGAGGCAGCAGUAGGGAAUCUUCCGCAAUGGGCGAAAGCCUGACGGAGCAACGCCGCGUGAGUGAUGAAGGUCUUCGGAUCGUAAAACUCUGUUAUUAGGGAAGAACAAAUGUGUAAGUAACUAUGCACGUCUUGACGGUACCUAAUCAGAAAGCCACGGCUAACUACGUG
RNAcentral lists this ribosomal RNA (497 nucleotides) under uncultured bacterium. RNAcentral describes it as "partial 16S ribosomal RNA". It matches the Rfam family "Bacterial small subunit ribosomal RNA", at positions 28 to 507 of the family's 1533-position model. The record is from RNAcentral.